RNA transcript from Lepidothrix coronata (blue-crowned manakin), 3536 nucleotides. It is a transcript of the gene named chromobox 7, with no coding region annotated. NCBI's taxonomy places the organism in Eukaryota, Metazoa, Chordata, Aves, Passeriformes, Pipridae. The record is from RefSeq and is a predicted model, not a curated record. The transcript has 8 exons.
GCUCGGGGGUCUCCGGGGCGGAGGGGGAGCUGUCGGUGCGGGGGGUUCAGCCUCUGCAGGAUGAGCGCUGGUGACACCAGACGGAACAGCCCAAACCGGAGAGCGUUUGGGAAGGCUCCCGUGACUCCGUUUCCCCGGCCCUGGAAGCCCUCCGGGCCCCGCAGGGUGUUGCAAGGAUUAACCUGUAGGCAUGCAGGGAAAGUAGAAUACCUGGUGAAGUGGAAAGGAUGGCCCCCAAAAUACAGCACAUGGGAGCCAGAGGAUCAUAUCUUGGACCCUCGCCUGGUAGUGGCUUAUGAAGAAAAGGAGGAGAGAGACCGUGCAUCAGGGUACAGGAAAAGAGGCCCCAAACCAAAGCGCCUCCUACUGCAGCGGCUGUAUGGCAUGGACUUGAGGAGUGCCCAUAAGGGAAAGGAGAAGCUCUGUUUCUCUCUUGCACGGAGAUUUGGAGGAGGAGACAGUAGCCUGCCAGGGGCCAAGACAGGGCAGGCAGAGUUCCCAGAGAAGACUGGGGGAGCAGUCCUGCCAUUCUCUCUCCGGAAGCAACGCAAAAACCAGAAGUACCUGCGACUGUCCAGGAAGAAGUUCCCCCGCAUGGCAAGCCUGGAGAACCGAAACUGCAGGCAUGAGUUUUUCCUGAAUGAUGCAGUGGGCCUAGAGGCCAGGCAGGGCCCUGAGGACUGGGAGGCCAUGCAGCACACCAGCAAAGAAGCAGAUGUGGAUGCCAGUCUCCCUUGGAUCCCCACUGUGCCCCCCAGUGAAGUGACAGUGACAGACAUCACGGCAAACUCCAUUACCGUCACUUUCAGAGAAGCACAAGUGGCUGAGGGCUUCUUUCGAGACCGGAGUGCACAGUUCUGAAUCUGUUUGCAGUGCUCCCCAAAAACAGUGCUUUUAGGGCGGGGCUAGGGAAGGGUUAUGUUAUCCCUUAAGAGAAAAAAAAUAUCCAAAAUGUCUCCUCUUAAAAUGUUUACAGAGACUUUUUUUUUCUCCUUUUCCCCCUUUCAGAUACGCAAAAAAGGGCAGUGUAGGGGGUGUGUGUUUGUCAUUGCUUUGUCCAGCUGAAAAACUGACAGCCCUUUCCCUGGCAAAGACUCCCCUCCUUGAUGUGAAAGCAGCAAGCCGAACAAUUCGCCUUUUAUCCUGUCAAGUGGCGGCAGCUGCAUUUGUGGGGAGAGGGCAUGUGGAGGUGGAAAGAGAGCUGGAUCUCUAGCCUGCUGCCUUGUUCUGCAAUUGAUAUCCCUCGGAUAAAGAUACAUCUCUGUGCGUUGCUCUUCCCACCUUCCUCCUCCCUCUCUUCCUGCAGCAGUGAGACGCAAUGGAUCCUACCUGUGUAGAUAACUCCAGCCUGUUAAGACUUUCUCUCCAGUGCUGUUUUCCCUGUGGCCUGCUGUCAGGACUUCAGAAUCCUAUUUGCCUGUCUGUGCUGAAUUAUUUUCCACCAGUCACUUCUAUUGGUAUAAACGUGCAGUGCAGCUGGAAAAAGAAUGGAAAAUGUGCGUGCAUGCGUGAGAAAGAUCAGUAAAAAAGGAUCGAUGAAGAAUGGAGCCUGCAAAAGGCUGUUUCUGACAUUACUCAUUGCUUUGAUUGGAGGAGGUCAGGUUUUUAUUAAUUUUUAACCCACUGGGUAUGUUAGAGCUGUACAGAGGUGACCUGGGACGGUUGGUCUUUUGAUGGAUUAUAAUUUGAAGAGGAGAAUGCCAAUGUCAGGGUGACUGCUGCUCUGGGUUUAGGGAGUUCUCAACAUCCUUGCACAAGGCUGUGGUGCCAGGACAGCUCUGCUAGCAGCAGGAGAGUGCUGAUGUGCCCCGUAUCAUGUGUUUCUUAUGGGAACGGAGAAAGUCUGAGGCAAGACCUGGGCUACCAGGCACGCUCCACACUGAUUGCCAGCAGGGAAGCAGCUCUCCUCCAUGCCGAAGCCUCUAGUGGGUUGUUCUGCAGGGCUUCCAGGGACCUUUUCAGGAGCACAGCUGCUCCUGGGCAGAGUUUGACCCCUGGUUCACCCCAGGUAAUGCAGGGCUUAGCCGAGGAGCCCGUGUACUGGAACUGCUGAUACUCCUUGGAGAGAAUCCCAAAUGCCAGUUAGUCCACUUCAGUGUCUGACUUGCUCCCUCGAGGAGUGUCUCUCUCCAUCCUCUGUGGAGGGGCAGGAUAAGCUGUUUAUGGAGGUACCUCAGCAAGCGAAUGGGGCUGCCCGAGAUGCCUUUAAUAGGCGUAAGGUGGGGGUGAGCCCUGCACCUGAGCACAGCUGUGAUGUCAAUCCCAAAAACAUGCAGAGCAAAAGCAGAGGGGGAUGGGAUGCAUUUCCUGAGUUGGUCAUGGCUCAAGGCAGUAUGAUUAGGUCUUGCCCAUGUUACCAAAGCACAGUCAGCAUGCUUGCCUCGAGCCAGGGCGGCUGGAGCUGAGUGAUGGCAUUGGAGCAGGACUCCAGCCAGCCACUUACUCUCUGGCAGCAGCAGCAGUGAGCGAGUCAGGUAAAGUUGGAAGAAACUGCAGUGCAGAGUUACAGGAAAGCCUACUCUGGAGGUUGUGCCUUCCUACCCCUGCCAAUGCUGCAGAGGGUGGCUGGCAGUAGAAACUCACAACAGCUUGUCCUUUCGCAUGCAUGUGUUGGUUGGAUUAAAGGUUAAUCUGAGCAGAACUUCUAUUUUUUAAUAAUCUGUUGCUAUGCCACCCCUCCGAUCCAUGCAGUGCAGCUGGCUUGCCUUGCACAGCUUUCCCCUUCGGAUGCCUCAGAACAAGGCCACUCAGCAAGAGGGGAACCACACGGUUUGGGCAGCUCGGUGUUCUCUGAGAAGCACAGGGUGAAAUGCAGUGCAUGUGACCCCUGCAAUGGCACCUCCUGUCCAUUCAGUGCCACACAUCUUCCCUGUUCUUGGCCCUUCUCUUUCCAGCGUUUUACUCACCAAGCCACUGUUUUCGAAUCAAGAAUGCAAUAAACCUGGGGGACUUGUGUAAUGCAAGCAGCAGCCUGGGCAGCUGGGCCUGCUUUGGGCCCAGGGAUAUCAUAGCACCCCAGCGGUGUAGGCCCAGCUCAAACCCCAUUGGCCUUCUCCUCUCUCUGCUACAUCAAAAAGUUAGUGGGCUGGAGGGAUGGUUGUUCUGACCACUUGGCCCAUGCUGAGCCACCUGUACCUGGUGUGUGGGGAGGUACUGGUCAGCUCCGAGGGAUCUGCCUUUGCUUGCGUGUAUUCCAGAGUUGCAGCAGUGAAAUCUCAGCCCAUUUUGACCCGGAUGACCACAGGGUUGCUGGGUGCGUGCAGCUGUGUCCACUCCUGGGGUAGGUGAGGGAGUGACCGUUUCCGUGCCAAAAUCUGCUGCUCCUGACAGUGACCUCCCUGGAGCAAACAGCAGUGGAGUCAGUCGAUCGACCCUUGGAGCUGUUCUCAUGGAGGUUUAUGUAGCAUGCUUGGCCCAUUUACCUUGCAGUACCUUAUACUGGCUCAAAAACCGGACCUUAUACUGGCACAAAACCUGUACCUUGUGCUGGCACGCCGGCCAAACAGAGAAAAGAAAUAAAGAUAACGAGGAUUUAA